GCCUUUAUCUCCAUCUCCCCAUGUAAAUAGCUUUCCUGAAGAACAAUUGCUCGAACUUGAAGACCCAACCAUGACUUCAACAACUGCAGCAGUGUGCCAAACACCACAGGCUGCUCGGACAGUGCGAAGACCUUUGAGGGACCCCACUUCCCUGGGUGUAGAUACACUUUUGCGGUCCCCAUGGCCUAAAACACCAAAAGUUCCAUCUCCAAAAGUAAACAAUUGCCCAGCAGAAGUUA
Molecule: unclassified non-coding RNA, 239 nt
Filed under: Hevea brasiliensis (rubber tree)
Lineage: Eukaryota; Viridiplantae; Streptophyta; Magnoliopsida; Malpighiales; Euphorbiaceae
Source: RNAcentral